This 253-nucleotide ribosomal RNA is filed under the name uncultured bacterium. RNAcentral describes it as "partial 16S ribosomal RNA". It matches the Rfam family "Bacterial small subunit ribosomal RNA", at positions 524 to 776 of the family's 1533-position model. The record is from RNAcentral.
UACGAAGGGGGCUAGCGUUGCUCGGAAUUACUGGGCGUAAAGGGUAGGUAGGUGGUCUCAUUUGUCUGGGGUGAAAGCCUUGAGCUUAACUCAAGAAGUGCCCCGGAAACGGUGAGACUGGAGUCCUGGAGAGGGUCGUGGAAUUCCCGGUGUAGCGGUGAAAUGCGUAGAGAUCGGGAGGAACACCAGAGGCGAAGGCGGCGACCUGGACAGGCACUGACACUCAACUACGAAAGCGUGGGGAGCAAACAGG